Molecule: ribosomal RNA, 1441 nt
Filed under: uncultured organism
Description: SSU rRNA
Rfam family: Bacterial small subunit ribosomal RNA
Source: RNAcentral
ACAGGCUUAACACAUGCAAGUCGAGGGGCAGCAUUUCAGUUUGCUUGCAAACUGGAGAUGGCGACCGGCGCACGGGUGAGUAACACGUAUCCGACCUGCCGAUAACUCGGGGAUAGCCUUUCGAAAGAAAGAUUAAUACCCGAUGGUAUAAUCAGACCGCAUGGUCUUGUUAUUAAAGAAUUUCGGUUAUCGAUGGGGAUGCGUUCCAUUAGGCAGUUGGUGAGGUAACGGCUCACCAAACCUUCGAUGGAUAGGGGUUCUGAGAGGAAGGUCCCCCACAUUGGAACUGAGACACGGUCCAAACUCCUACGGGAGGCAGCAGUGAGGAAUAUUGGUCAAUGGGCGCAGGCCUGAACCAGCCAAGUAGCGUGAAGGAUGACUGCCCUAUGGGUUGUAAACUUCUUUUAUAUGGGAAUAAAGUUUUCCACGUGUGGAAUUUUGUAUGUACCAUAUGAAUAAGGAUCGGCUAACUCCGUGCCAGCAGCCGCGGUAAUACGGAGGAUCCGAGCGUUAUCCGGAUUUAUUGGGUUUAAAGGGAGCGUAGGUGGACAGUUAAGUCAGUUGUGAAAGUUUGCGGCUCAACCGUAAAAUUGCAGUUGAUACUGGCUGUCUUGAGUACAGUAGAGGUGGGCGGAAUUCGUGGUGUAGCGGUGAAAUGCUUAGAUAUCACGAAGAACUCCGAUUGCGAAGGCAGCUCACUGGACUGCAACUGACACUGAUGCUCGAAAGUGUGGGUAUCAAACAGGAUUAGAUACCCUGGUAGUCCACACAGUAAACGAUGAAUACUCGCUGUUUGCGAUAUACAGUAAGCGGCCAAGCGAAAGCAUUAAGUAUUCCACCUGGGGAGUACGCCGGCAACGGUGAAACUCAAAGGAAUUGACGGGGGCCCGCACAAGCGGAGGAACAUGUGGUUUAAUUCGAUGAUACGCGAGGAACCUUACCCGGGCUUAAAUUGCAUUUGAAUAUAUUGGAAACAGUAUAGCCGUAAGGCAAAUGUGAAGGUGCUGCAUGGUUGUCGUCAGCUCGUGCCGUGAGGUGUCGGCUUAAGUGCCAUAACGAGCGCAACCCUUAUCUUUAGUUACUAACAGGUCAUGCUGAGGACUCUAGAGAGACUGCCGUCGUAAGAUGUGAGGAAGGUGGGGAUGACGUCAAAUCAGCACGGCCCUUACGUCCGGGGCUACACACGUGUUACAAUGGGGGGUACAGAAGGCAGCUACCUGGUGACAGGAUGCUAAUCCCAAAAGCCUCUCUCAGUUCGGAUCGAAGUCUGCAACCCGACUUCGUGAAGCUGGAUUCGCUAGUAAUCGCGCAUCAGCCAUGGCGCGGUGAAUACGUUCCCGGGCCUUGUACACACCGCCCGUCAAGCCAUGAAAGCCGGGGGUACCUGAAGUACGUAACCGCAAGGAGCGUCCUAGGGUAAAACUGGUAAUUGGGGCUAAGA